RNAcentral lists this ribosomal RNA (879 nucleotides) under uncultured bacterium. RNAcentral describes it as "bacterial SSU rRNA". It matches the Rfam family "Bacterial small subunit ribosomal RNA", at positions 8 to 916 of the family's 1533-position model. The record is from RNAcentral.
AGAGUUUGAUCAUGGCUCAGGAUGAACGCUGGCGGCGUGUCUAACACAUGCAAGUCGAGCGAUUCUCUUCGGAGAAGAGCGGCGGACGGGUGAGUAACGCGUGGGUAACCUGCCCUGUACACACGGAUAACAUACCGAAAGGUAUGCUAAUACGAGAUAAUAUACUUUUAUCGCAUGGUAGGAGUAUCAAAGCUUUUGCGGUACAGGAUGGACCCGCGUCUGAUUAGCUAGUUGGUAAGGUAACGGCUUACCAAGGCGACGAUCAGUAGCCGACCUGAGAGGGUGAUCGGCCACAUUGGAACUGAGACACGGUCCAAACUCCUACGGGAGGCAGCAGUGGGGAAUAUUGCACAAUGGGCGAAAGCCUGAUGCAGCAACGCCGCGUGAGCGAUGAAGGCCUUCGGGUCGUAAAGCUCUGUCCUCAAGGAAGAUAAUGACGGUACUUGAGGAGGAAGCCCCGGCUAACUACGUGCCAGCAGCCGCGGUAAUACGUAGGGGGCUAGCGUUAUCCGGAAUUACUGGGCGUAAAGGGUGCGUAGGUGGUUUCUUAAGUCAAAGGUGAAAGGCUACGGCUCAACCGUAGUAAGCCUUUGAAACUGGGAAACUUGAGUGCAGGAGAGGAGAGUGGAAUUCCUAGUGUAGCGGUGAAAUGCGUAGAUAUUAGGAGGAACACCAGUUGCGAAGGCGGCUCUCUGGACUGUAACUGACACUGAGGCACGAAAGCGUGGGGAGCAAACAGGAUUAGAUACCCUGGUAGUCCACGCCGUAAACGAUGAGUACUAGCUGUCGGAGGUUACCCCCUUCGGUGGCGCAGCUAACGCAUUAAGUACUCCGCCUGGGAAGUACGCUCGCAAGAGUGAAACUCAAAGGAAUUGACGG